GAGUACAUGCAGCAACAGCUCCUAGAUUUGGGAGCUACUGAGGCCCCUGUGUCCUGCAGGAAGGCUGACUGUUACCCAGGUGUGGAUUUCCCUCUCCUAUAAAAGAUCUGCUGGUUGCUAGAAGACACGACGCUUUAUGUGCAGGAGAGCAGACACCGUGUCGCCAUUGCGCUGAAGUUUCUGGUGUCCUUUCCAGUUGGCCAGAAAGAAAGAAAGAAGAAGAAAAACCCCACAUCCUCUUGUAGGACCAGAUCCAUCCUUUGGAU
Non-coding RNA from Lonchura striata (white-rumped munia), 266 nucleotides. NCBI's taxonomy places the organism in Eukaryota, Metazoa, Chordata, Aves, Passeriformes, Estrildidae. The record is from RefSeq and is a predicted model, not a curated record.